RNAcentral lists this ribosomal RNA (2900 nucleotides) under Klebsiella pneumoniae. Its description in RNAcentral is "23S ribosomal RNA". It matches the Rfam family "Bacterial large subunit ribosomal RNA". Lineage: Bacteria; Pseudomonadati; Pseudomonadota; Gammaproteobacteria; Enterobacterales; Enterobacteriaceae. The record is from RNAcentral. RNAcentral also lists the same sequence under 1 other name.
UUAAGCGACUAAGCGUACACGGUGGAUGCCCUGGCAGUCAGAGGCGAUGAAGGACGUGCUAAUCUGCGAAAAGCGUCGGUAAGGUGAUAUGAACCGUUAUAACCGGCGAUGUCCGAAUGGGGAAACCCAGUGCAAUUCGUUGCACUAUCGUUAACUGAAUACAUAGGUUAACGAGGCGAACCGGGGGAACUGAAACAUCUAAGUACCCCGAGGAAAAGAAAUCAACCGAGAUUCCCCCAGUAGCGGCGAGCGAACGGGGAGCAGCCCAGAGUCUGAAUCAGCUUGUGUGUUAGUGGAACGGUCUGGAAAGUCCGACGGUACAGGGUGAUAGUCCCGUACACCAAAAUGCACAGGCUGUGAACUCGAAGAGUAGGGCGGGACACGUGGUAUCCUGUCUGAAUAUGGGGGGACCAUCCUCCAAGGCUAAAUACUCCUGACUGACCGAUAGUGAACCAGUACCGUGAGGGAAAGGCGAAAAGAACCCCGGCGAGGGGAGUGAAAAAGAACCUGAAACCGUGUACGUACAAGCAGUGGGAGCACCUUCGGGUGUGACUGCGUACCUUUUGUAUAAUGGGUCAGCGACUUAUAUUCUGUAGCAAGGUUAACCGUAUAGGGGAGCCGCAGGGAAACCGAGUCUUAACUGGGCGUUAAGUUGCAGGGUAUAGACCCGAAACCCGGUGAUCUAGCCAUGGGCAGGUUGAAGGUUGGGUAACACUAACUGGAGGACCGAACCGACUAAUGUUGAAAAAUUAGCGGAUGACUUGUGGCUGGGGGUGAAAGGCCAAUCAAACCGGGAGAUAGCUGGUUCUCCCCGAAAGCUAUUUAGGUAGCGCCUCGUGAACUCAUCUUCGGGGGUAGAGCACUGUUUCGGCUAGGGGGUCAUCCCGACUUACCAACCCGAUGCAAACUACGAAUACCGAAGAAUGUUAUCACGGGAGACACACGGCGGGUGCUAACGUCCGUCGUGAAGAGGGAAACAACCCAGACCGCCAGCUAAGGUCCCAAAGUCAUGGUUAAGUGGGAAACGAUGUGGGAAGGCACAGACAGCCAGGAUGUUGGCUUAGAAGCAGCCAUCAUUUAAAGAAAGCGUAAUAGCUCACUGGUCGAGUCGGCCUGCGCGGAAGAUGUAACGGGGCUAAACCAUGCACCGAAGCUGCGGCAGCGACACUAUGUGUUGUUGGGUAGGGGAGCGUUCUGUAAGCCUGCGAAGGUGACCUGUGAGGGUUGCUGGAGGUAUCAGAAGUGCGAAUGCUGACAUAAGUAACGAUAAAGCGGGUGAAAAGCCCGCUCGCCGGAAGACCAAGGGUUCCUGUCCAACGUUAAUCGGGGCAGGGUGAGUCGACCCCUAAGGCGAGGCCGAAAGGCGUAGUCGAUGGGAAACAGGUUAAUAUUCCUGUACUUGGUGUUACUGCGAAGGGGGGACGGAGAAGGCUAUGUUAGCCGGGCGACGGUUGUCCCGGUUUAAGCAUGUAGGCUGAUUGUCCAGGCAAAUCCGGAUAAUCAAGGCUGAGGUGUGAUGACGAGGCACUACGGUGCUGAAGUAACAAAUGCCCUGCUUCCAGGAAAAGCCUCUAAGCAUCAGGUAACAUCAAAUCGUACCCCAAACCGACACAGGUGGUCAGGUAGAGAAUACCAAGGCGCUUGAGAGAACUCGGGUGAAGGAACUAGGCAAAAUGGUGCCGUAACUUCGGGAGAAGGCACGCUGGUGUGUAGGUGAAGUCCCUGCGGAUGGAGCUGAGACCAGUCGAAGAUACCAGCUGGCUGCAACUGUUUAUUAAAAACACAGCACUGUGCAAACACGAAAGUGGACGUAUACGGUGUGACGCCUGCCCGGUGCCGGAAGGUUAAUUGAUGGGGUUAUCCGUAAGGAGAAGCUCUUGAUCGAAGCCCCGGUAAACGGCGGCCGUAACUAUAACGGUCCUAAGGUAGCGAAAUUCCUUGUCGGGUAAGUUCCGACCUGCACGAAUGGCGUAAUGAUGGCCAGGCUGUCUCCACCCGAGACUCAGUGAAAUUGAACUCGCUGUGAAGAUGCAGUGUACCCGCGGCAAGACGGAAAGACCCCGUGAACCUUUACUAUAGCUUGACACUGAACAUUGAGCCUUGAUGUGUAGGAUAGGUGGGAGGCUUUGAAGCGUGGACGCCAGUCUGCGUGGAGCCAACCUUGAAAUACCACCCUUUAAUGUUUGAUGUUCUAACGUUGGCCCCUUAUCGGGGUUGCGGACAGUGUCUGGUGGGUAGUUUGACUGGGGCGGUCUCCUCCCAAAGCGUAACGGAGGAGCACGAAGGUUAGCUAAUCCUGGUCGGACAUCAGGAGGUUAGUGCAAUGGCAUAAGCUAGCUUGACUGCGAGCGUGACGGCGCGAGCAGGUGCGAAAGCAGGUCAUAGUGAUCCGGUGGUUCUGAAUGGAAGGGCCAUCGCUCAACGGAUAAAAGGUACUCCGGGGAUAACAGGCUGAUACCGCCCAAGAGUUCAUAUCGACGGCGGUGUUUGGCACCUCGAUGUCGGCUCAUCACAUCCUGGGGCUGAAGUAGGUCCCAAGGGUAUGGCUGUUCGCCAUUUAAAGUGGUACGCGAGCUGGGUUUAGAACGUCGUGAGACAGUUCGGUCCCUAUCUGCCGUGGGCGCUGGAGAAUUGAGGGGGGCUGCUCCUAGUACGAGAGGACCGGAGUGGACGCAUCACUGGUGUUCGGGUUGUCAUGCCAAUGGCACUGCCCGGUAGCUAAAUGCGGAAGAGAUAAGUGCUGAAAGCAUCUAAGCACGAAACUUGCCCCGAGAUGAGUUCUCCCUGAGACUUUAAGUCUCCUGAAGGAACGUUAAAGACGAUGACGUUGAUAGGCCGGGUGUGUAAGCGCAGCGAUGCGUUGAGCUAACCGGUACUAAUGAACCGUGAGGCUUAACCUU